GACUCAACCCGGGGAAACUCACCAGGUCCAGACAUAGUAAGGAUUGACAGAUUGAGAGCUCUUUCUUGAUUNUAUGGGUGGUGNAGCAUGUCCGUUGUUAGUUGGGGGAGUGAUUUGUAUGGUUAAUUCCGUUAUCGAACGAGACCUUAUCCUCCUAAAUAGUUAGNCCAACGUUUGUUGGUNGUCAACUUCUUAGAGGGACUAUUGACUAUUAGUCAAGGGAAGUAAGAGGCAAUAACAGGUCUGUGAUGCCCUUAGAUGUUCUGGGCCGCACGCGCGCUGCACUGAUCAAGUCCAGGAGUUUACAACCUUGGCCGGAAGGUCUGGGUAAUCUUUUGAAACUUGAUCGUACAGGGGAUAGUCCAUUGCAAUUAUUGGACUUCANCGAGGAAUUCCUAGUAAGCGUGAGUCAUCAGCUCGCGUUGAUUACGUCCCUGCCCUUUGUACACACCGCCNGUCGCUACUACCGAUUGAAUGCCUUAGCGAGGCUUUCGGAUAGGAUUCUGGCAGCUGGCAACAGCACCUAGAAACUGAAAAGUUAUCCAAUUUUGGUCAUUUAGAGGAAGUAAAAGUCGUAACAAGGUU
RNAcentral lists this ribosomal RNA (585 nucleotides) under uncultured fungus. Its description in RNAcentral is "SSU rRNA". It matches the Rfam family "Eukaryotic small subunit ribosomal RNA", at positions 1197 to 1801 of the family's 1831-position model. Lineage: Eukaryota; Fungi. The record is from RNAcentral.